GACUUAUCAACCACAUCAGAUGUUUUGAUGUGGCUUGGACAUGGGGGUUUCUUUGCAGGCAUUUUCUUCUACAGAAGAAAGGUCGGCUCCCCUGAAAUGUAUUAGUGGUAUCUGAGCUACUGCUAUAGGUGUGAUAAUUAUCUAUGCCUUUGGUAUGCUGCAUGAACAGAUUGCGCUGCUUAUAACAACAAAACAAUUGUAUUUGACAA
RNAcentral lists this unclassified non-coding RNA (209 nucleotides) under uncultured Inocybe. Its description in RNAcentral is "sequence contains ITS2". The record is from RNAcentral. Lineage: Eukaryota; Fungi; Basidiomycota; Agaricomycetes; Agaricales; Cortinariaceae.